RNAcentral lists this small nuclear RNA (107 nucleotides) under Phascolarctos cinereus (koala). The record is from RNAcentral. Lineage: Eukaryota; Metazoa; Chordata; Mammalia; Diprotodontia; Phascolarctidae.
GCACCAACUUUGACAGCAUGUCCUGAAAUUGGAAUGAUACAGAGAAAAUGAGCAUAGCCCCCCUACACAAGGAUGACAUACAAAUUCUUGAAGUGUUCCUUAUUAAA